AGUGAACGCUGGCGGUAGGCCUAACACAUGCAAGUCGAACGGCAGCACAGUAAGAGCUUGCUCUUACGGGUGGCGAGUGGCGGACGGGUGAGGAAUACAUCGGAAUCUACUUUUUCGUGGGGGAUAACGUAGGGAAACUUACGCUAAUACCGCAUACGACCUACGGGUGAAAGCAGGGGAUCUUCGGACCUUGCGCGAUUGAAUGAGCCGAUGUCGGAUUAGCUAGUUGGCGGGGUAAAGGCCCACCAAGGCGACGAUCCGUAGCUGGUCUGAGAGGAUGAUCAGCAACACUGGAACUGAGACACGGUCCAGACUCCUACGGGAGGCAGCAGUGGGGAAUAUUGGACAAUGGGCGCAAGCCUGAUCCAGCCAUACCGCGUGGGUGAAGAAGGCCUUCGGGUUGUAAAGCCAUUUUGUUGGGAAAGAAAAGCAGCAGGUUAAUACCCCGCUGUUAUGACGGUACCCAAAGAAUAAGCACCGGCUAACUUCGUG
RNAcentral lists this ribosomal RNA (492 nucleotides) under uncultured bacterium. RNAcentral's name for it is "partial 16S ribosomal RNA". It matches the Rfam family "Bacterial small subunit ribosomal RNA", at positions 29 to 507 of the family's 1533-position model. The record is from RNAcentral.